AGUGAACGCUGGCGGCAGGCCUAACACAUGCAAGUCGAACGGUAGCACAGAGGAGCUUGCUCCUUGGGUGACGAGUGGCGGACGGGUGAGGAAUACAUCGGAAUCUACCCUGUCGUGGGGGAUAACGUAGGGAAACUUACGCUAAUACCGCAUACGAACUGAGGUUGAAAGCAGGGGACCGCAAGGCCUUGCGCGAUUGGAUGAGCCGAUGUCCGAUUAGCUAGCUGGUAAGGUAAAGGCUUACCAAGGCGACGAUCAGUAGCUGGUCUGAGGUGUGGAGCAGCCACACUUGAACUGACAAACGGUCCAGACUCCUACGGGAGGCAGCAGUGGGGAAUAUUGGACAAUGGGCGCAAGCCUGAUCCAGCCAUGCCGCGUGUGUGAAGAAGGCCUUCGGGUUGUAAAGCACUUUUGUUGGGAAAGAAAAGCGGUCGGUUAAUACCCGGUCGUACUGACGGUACCCAAAGAAUAAGCACCGGCUAACUUCGUGCCAGCAGCCGCCGUAA
Molecule: ribosomal RNA, 506 nt
Filed under: uncultured bacterium
Lineage: Bacteria
Description: partial 16S ribosomal RNA
Rfam family: Bacterial small subunit ribosomal RNA
Source: RNAcentral